RNAcentral lists this ribosomal RNA (247 nucleotides) under uncultured Actinomycetes bacterium. Its description in RNAcentral is "uncultured actinobacterium partial 16S ribosomal RNA". It matches the Rfam family "Bacterial small subunit ribosomal RNA", at positions 28 to 276 of the family's 1533-position model. The record is from RNAcentral. Lineage: Bacteria; Bacillati; Actinomycetota; Actinomycetes.
GACGAACGCUGGCGGCGUGCUUAACACAUGCAAGUCGAGCGGUAAGGCCCUUUCGGGGGUACACGAGCGGCGAACGGGUGAGUAACACGUGGGUGACCUGCCCUUAGCUCUGGGAUAAGCCUGGGAAACUGGGUCUAAUACCGGAUAUGACUCCAUGACGCAUGUUGUGGGGUGGAAAGCCUUGUGCGGCUGGGGAUGGGCCCGCGGCCUAUCAGCUUGUUGGUGGGGUGAUGGCCUACCAAGGCAA